UGCUGUACAAGGUCUUUUUCUUUGUUGUCAUGGUUGAUUUUGUACAUCUCAGCAUUUGCAUCAUACAAAGGGGGGAGCAACAGCCAUGGCUUUUGGUCAGGUUCAGGGGGGCUGAGGGGGUGCUCCUCCCCUCCCCCCAGGCACUGACACAUUGAAAGGAAGCAGAGCAACAAUGACACAGCACAAAUGUGGGAAAGGGGUUCCCCCGCGCGAGCAGGAUGGUCGAUCUCACCUGGGUCUCACCAGGACUCCCCGCUCCCACCCAGGGCCAGCACGAGCACCUCCCAUUCUCUCCCCAGUGAAGAGCGUGGGGUGACAGGAGUGGGACUGGAGCAGGGGACAUUUGGUGGGAGGCAUGUCCUCAGGCCUGGGAGCCCAGGCUGACCCCAGCCUCCCUGUGCAGUCAGGGGCCUGUGGAACCCUAAAGGAUGGAGCAGGUGGCCAGCGGGCAUGGGCAACCCUGCCAGCUGGGUGCCGGGCUUUUGGAGCUAGGGGCCCACCGCACUGCACUCUAGCCACAAGGCUGUGGGCUGGCUGCUUUGCCCACCGGCUGUCCCCUGACAGGGGCUCUGGGCUGCAACACUGCCGUCUCCUUUUCGUUCUCUCGCUCUCACACACCUGGGAUGGCGUCUCCACUUCCUGAUUCCAUCUGGAGGAGUACCCCGCACAGCCUUGCUGUUAAGGACACCUUUUGGGAGCUUCUGGAUUUGGAGGGGAGGACGUCCAUGUUUGGAGAUCCUGACCCGCCCUGACCCGUCGCCAGUGCCCAGCCCAGGGCGACCCGUAGCUGCCUUUUUCCUUCUCUCUGGCAGCGCCUCCCAGGCACGGGAGCCCGGCCUUCCCCAAGAGCGCACACGCUCACCUCACCUGGUGCACGCUCCCUUGCGCCUCAUUCUUUUCACCCAUCUACAAAUGAUUGCUCCUUCCUAUUUUCCUAUCUGGGGGUCCUCUCCCUUGUGUGUGUGCUGAAUUCUGGGGCCACUCCUCCCCUAAGUGUGUUGCAUGCACACUGCCCCAUUUAUGUGUGCACACUCAUUCCUCUCCCACCCAGUGGGUCACGCACACCUCACCUCCCAGGCGAUCCUGUGAGGAUCCCACCCCUGCUAGAGCAACUCUCACGUAUUCUAUGCACUACGUGUGCCACACAGACAUGCUCUCUGGGCCACACAUUAGCUGCUCUCCACAGCCAAGUCUGCAUCAGUAAUGACAGUCAUUGUGUUCCCCUGGGCCUAAGAGUGAUCACUUGGCAGUGGUUGGAGCCAGGUGUGUGCCAGGCAGAAAUUUUCCCCCAUACCCACCCCCAGGAAGACCUCAAGUCCUGCUGUCCCAGAGCAGAAUAGAGGGGUCUGGGACGUGGACUCAGACUAAACCAGCCAUCCUGGAGGGCAGGCAUCAGGGGUGGGGAGAGGGUUGGAUAAGAAUGGGGGCAGCUUG
This 1434-nucleotide long non-coding RNA is filed under the name Macaca fascicularis (crab-eating macaque). Its description in RNAcentral is "lncRNA (ENSMFAG00000052027.1)". The record is from RNAcentral. Lineage: Eukaryota; Metazoa; Chordata; Mammalia; Primates; Cercopithecidae.